Molecule: non-coding RNA, 23 nt
Filed under: Arabidopsis thaliana (thale cress)
Lineage: Eukaryota; Viridiplantae; Streptophyta; Magnoliopsida; Brassicales; Brassicaceae
Source: RNAcentral
GGAAAAGUGUAGAGAUUGCUCUA